CCUACGGGAGGCAGCAGUAGGGAAUCUUCCACAAUGGGCGCAAGCCUGAUGGAGCAACACCGCGUGAGUGAAGAAGGGUUUCUGCUCGUAAAGCUCUGUUUUUGGAGAAGAACGUGCGUGAGAGUAACUGUUCACGCAGUGACGGUAUCCAACCAGAAAGUCACGGCUCACUACGGGCCAGCAGCCGCGGUAAUACGUAGGUGGCAAGCGUUAUCCGGAUUUAUUGGGCGUAAAGCGAGCGCAGGCGGUUGCUUAGGUCUGAUGUGAAAGCCUUCGGCUUAACCGAAGAAGUGCAUCGGAAACCGGUGAACUUGAGUGCAGAAGAGGACAGUGGAACUCCAGGUGUAGCGGUGGAAUGCGUAGAUAUAAGGAAGAACACCGAUGGCGAAGGCGGCUGUCUGGUCUGCAACUGACGCUGAGGCUCGAAAGCAUGGGUAGCGAACAGGAUUAGAUACCCCAGUAGUC
RNAcentral lists this ribosomal RNA (465 nucleotides) under uncultured bacterium. RNAcentral's name for it is "partial 16S ribosomal RNA". It matches the Rfam family "Bacterial small subunit ribosomal RNA", at positions 338 to 795 of the family's 1533-position model. The record is from RNAcentral.